This 200-nucleotide ribosomal RNA is filed under the name uncultured prokaryote. Its description in RNAcentral is "partial 16S ribosomal RNA". It matches the Rfam family "Bacterial small subunit ribosomal RNA", at positions 1183 to 1382 of the family's 1533-position model. The record is from RNAcentral.
CGUCAAAUCAUCAUGCCCCUUACAUCCCGGGCUACACACGUAAUACAAUGGCGCAGAACAGAGGGAGGCAAAGCCGUAAGGCGGAGCGAAACCCUAAAAGGCGUCCCAGUUCGGAUCGAGGGCUGCAACCCGCCCUCGUGAAGUCGGAAUUGCUAGUAAUCGCGGAUCAGCAUGCCGCGGUGAAUACGUUCCCGGGGCUU